RNAcentral lists this long non-coding RNA (660 nucleotides) under Vigna radiata. RNAcentral's name for it is "long non-coding RNA (VRAD_LNC014670)". The record is from RNAcentral. Lineage: Eukaryota; Viridiplantae; Streptophyta; Magnoliopsida; Fabales; Fabaceae.
AUGUUUUAUGCUGUGAUGUGGUGUAUUUGGGGCUUUAUGAUUAUAAAUACUUCUAUUUACCUCUUUGGUGUAAGAAGGAUGUCCUAAGUUAACUAUUCAACUAUUGUUAGUUCAUACCGAUUGGUAGUUGUCCAUAAAGGUAGCUUGUUGUAUUCUGUGCAGCUAAAUGUAGAUCAAAUUCUAAUUACAGAAGUUCAUUGCACAUGUUCUUUGACCACACAUGUCUCCUCUUUUUCUUAAACCUUCCCAUUCUGUUUUGUGCAGUCUUCCCCUUCUCUUUCUCUUUGUUUCUAUUUCUUGCUACCCCUCUUUGUCAUGGUUCACUGGAAGUUAUUCUAUUCUUUUUUUUUCAGUUUUAGUAUAAUUAGAGUUAUCUGAAGUUAAUAAUUCUAGAUGGUUUCUUAGUCAUAGCUUCAUUUAGAACUCAAAUGAAUUUGUAUGUAAGUUCAGUAAUUAAAGACUGUUUGAUCUUGCUUCACUAGAGUGGCUAAACUUGUUUUUUGUGACUUCCAUAUAGCUCCUGAAGUGGUUAAGAAGGCUGGGAUACCUCAUUCAGAAGGCUUAAAGUUUUGUACACUCAAGCAAGGGAUCUAUAGGAAAGUGAAGCAAGGUAUAUUUAGUUGGGACUUUUCCCCUUAUCUUUUUUUCUUUGUUCCAUGU